RNAcentral lists this long non-coding RNA (2076 nucleotides) under Pelobates cultripes (western spadefoot toad). The record is from RNAcentral. Lineage: Eukaryota; Metazoa; Chordata; Amphibia; Anura; Pelobatidae.
GAACCACGAGAGGACAGUGUCACAGAGACCGAGUGAUUGAAGAAGGAGAGCAUGAUCAACAGUGUCAAAAGCAGCAGAGAGGUCAAGAAGAAUUACUAUGGAGUAGUGGCCUUUGGAUUUAGCUGCGAUUAGGUCAUUAGUAACUUUGAUAAGAGAAGAGGGUCAAGGAGAGAGUUGGAAUUGAGGAAGUGAGACAUACGGGUAAAGACCAGUCUUUCCAGAAGUUUUGAGGAAAAAGGAAGUAGGGAUAUGGGACGAUAGUUAGAGGGGGAGGACGGGUCAAGAGAUGUUUUUUUUUCUUUUCAGGAUAGGUACUACAGUGGCAUGUUUAAGGUCAGCAGGGACAACUCCAGAAGAGAGAGAGAGCAGUUGAAGAUGUGUGUGUUAAGGAAGGCACAAGACAAGUGGAGAGAGAUCUGAUAAGGCGAUAUGGGACAGGAUCAAUUCUAAUAGCCUUCAUUCUGUAUGUGAACCCCUCCUCCUCUCUGUUCUAAUAGCCUUCAUUCUGUGUGUGAACUCCUCCUCCUCUCUGUUCUAAUAGCCUUCAUUCUGUAUGUGAACCCCUCCUCCUCUCUGUUCUAAUAGCCUUCAUUCUGUGUGUGAACUCCUCCUCCUCUCUGUUCUAAUAGCCUUCAUUCUGUAUGUGAACCCCUCCUCCUCUCUGUUCUAAUAGCCUUCAUUCUGUGUGUGAACUCCUCCUCCUCUCUGUUCUAAUAGCCUUCAUUCUGUAUGUGAACCCCUCCUCCUCUCUGUUCUAAUAGCCUUCAUUCUGUGUGUGAACUCCUCCUCCUCUCUGUUCUAAUAGCCUUCAUUCUGUAUGUGAACCCCUCCUCCUCUCUGUUCUAAUAGCCUUCAUUCUGUGUGUGAACUCCUCCUCCUCUCUGUUCUAAUAGCCUUCAUUCUGUAUGUGAACCCCUCCUCCUCUCUGUUCUAAUAGCCUUCAUUCUGUGUGUGAACUCCUCCUCCUCUCUGUUCUAAUAGCCUUCAUUCUGUAUGUGAACCCCUCCUCCUCUCUGUUCUAAUAGCCUUCAUUCUGUGUGUGAACUCCUCCUCCUCUCUGUUCUAAUAGCCUUCAUUCUGUAUGUGAACCCCUCCUCCUCUCUGUUCUAAUAGCCUUCAUUCUGUGUGUGAAUCCCUCCUAACGAGAUGGAUUUUAAGGCACUUCUUAAAAGAUGCAAGAAUAGGGGAGAGUCUGAUGUCGGUAGACAUGCUAUUCCAUAGGAAGGGAGUCGCCUGGGAGAGGUCCUACAAGUGUAAGUUGGCUGUACGGGUGCGUGCAAUGGACAGGAGAAGGUCACAAGGCAGAGCGGAGAGACCGAGAAGGGGCAUACCUAUGGAUCUGUGAAGAGCUAUAAGAGGGGCUAGAAUUGUUCAGUGCUUUUAUAGGUAUGGGGGGUAUAAUUAAAAAAGGAGACACUGAAUGAGCGUUGAGAGAGAGAGAGAGAGAGAGAGGAGGAGAACCACGAGAGGACAGUGUCACAGAGACCGAGUGAUUGAAGAAGGAGAGCAUGAUCAACAGUGUCAAAAGCAGCAGAGAGGUCAAGAAGAAUUACUAUGGAGUAGUGGCCUUUGGAUUUAGCUGCGAUUAGGUCAUUAGUAACUUUGAUAAGAGAAGAGGGUCAAGGAGAGAGUUGGAAUUGAGGAAGUGAGACAUACGGGUAAAGACCAGUCUUUCCAGAAGUUUUGAGGAAAAAGGAAGUAGGGAUAUGGGACGAUAGUUAGAGGGGGAGGACGGGUCAAGAGAUGUUUUUUUUUUCUUUUCAGGAUAGGUACUACAGUGGCAUGUUUAAGGUCAGCAGGGACAACUCCAGAAGAGAGAGAGAGAAGUUGAAGAUGUGUGUGUUAAGGAAGGCACAAGACNNNNNNNNNNNNNNNNNNNNNNNNNNNNNNNNNNNNNNNNNNNNNNNNNNNNNNNNNNNNNNNNNNNNNNNNNNNNNNNNNNNNNNNNNNNNNNNNNNNNAAGUGGAGAGAGAUCUGAUAAGGCGAUAUGGGACAGGAUCAAACGGGAAAGUGGUGGGGCGAGAGGAAAGUAGAAGCACAGCCACCUCUUGUUCAGUAAUCUGGGAGAAAGUCUGA